RNAcentral lists this ribosomal RNA (1224 nucleotides) under Escherichia coli. RNAcentral's name for it is "bacterial LSU rRNA". It matches the Rfam family "Bacterial large subunit ribosomal RNA", at positions 1726 to 2925 of the family's 2925-position model. The record is from RNAcentral. Lineage: Bacteria; Pseudomonadati; Pseudomonadota; Gammaproteobacteria; Enterobacterales; Enterobacteriaceae.
UGCCGUAACUUCGGGAGAAGGCACGCUGAUAUGUAGGUGAAGCGACUUGCUCGUGGAGCUGAAAUCAGUCGAAGAUACCAGCUGGCUGCAACUGUUUAUUAAAAACACAGCACUGUGCAAACACGAAAGUGGACGUAUACGGUGUGACGCCUGCCCGGUGCCGGAAGGUUAAUUGAUGGGGUUAGCGGUAACGCGAAGCUCUUGAUCGAAGCCCCGGUAAACGGCGGCCGUAACUAUAACGGUCCUAAGGUAGCGAAAUUCCUUGUCGGGUAAGUUCCGACCUGCACGAAUGGCGUAAUGAUGGCCAGGCUGUCUCCACCCGAGACUCAGUGAAAUUGAACUCGCUGUGAAGAUGCAGUGUACCCGCGGCAAGACGGAAAGACCCCGUGAACCUUUACUAUAGCUUGACACUGAACAUUGAGCCUUGAUGUGUAGGAUAGGUGGGAGGCUUUGAAGUGUGGACGCCAGUCUGCAUGGAGCCGACCUUGAAAUACCACCCUUUAAUGUUUGAUGUUCUAACGUGGGCCCGUAAUCCGGGUUGCGGACAGUGUCUGGUGGGUAGUUUGACUGGGGCGGUCUCCUCCUAAAGAGUAACGGAGGAGCACGAAGGUUGGCUAAUCCUGGUCGGACAUCAGGAGGUUAGUGCAAUGGCAUAAGCCAGCUUGACUGCGAGCGUGACGGCGCGAGCAGGUGCGAAAGCAGGUCAUAGUGAUCCGGUGGUUCUGAAUGGAAGGGCCAUCGCUCAACGGAUAAAAGGUACUCCGGGGAUAACAGGCUGAUACCGCCCAAGAGUUCAUAUCGACGGCGGUGUUUGGCACCUCGAUGUCGGCUCAUCACAUCCUGGGGCUGAAGUAGGUCCCAAGGGUAUGGCUGUUCGCCAUUUAAAGUGGUACGCGAGCUGGGUUUAGAACGUCGUGAGACAGUUCGGUCCCUAUCUGCCGUGGGCGCUGGAGAACUGAGGGGGGCUGCUCCUAGUACGAGAGGACCGGAGUGGACGCAUCACUGGUGUUCGGGUUGUCAUGCCAAUGGCACUGCCCGGUAGCUAAAUGCGGAAGAGAUAAGUGCUGAAAGCAUCUAAGCACGAAACUUGCCCCGAGAUGAGUUCUCCCUGACCCUUUAAGGGUCCUGAAGGAACGUUGAAGACGACGACGUUGAUAGGCCGGGUGUGUAAGCGCAGCGAUGCGUUGAGCUAACCGGUACUAAUGAACCGUGAGGCUUAACCUU